This is a non-coding RNA of Oryctolagus cuniculus (rabbit), 538 nucleotides long. Lineage: Eukaryota; Metazoa; Chordata; Mammalia; Lagomorpha; Leporidae. The record is from RefSeq and is a predicted model, not a curated record.
CUUGGAGGAGGGGCGCCCCCUUACUCCUCCCUCCUGGAAAACAAGAAAAGAUCCCUUUGCAAGCACCAGCUGGCAGGCUUGAGCGGUGGAGAAAUGCUGGCACCAUUCUGUGGGCAGGUAACCUGAUAACCUAGAGCCACGAGAGCUGUCUCGUGCUGCCGAUGACUGCGACCGAGGGCAGGCUGUGCAGCUCCUGAGCUUCCAUCUGCUCUCGGGACCAGGCCUUAAUGACACAACUUCCUCCUGACUCCACUGGACACUUCUGCCAGGACAAGGUGGAGGCUGAAAGAAUUAACCUCACGGAAAUCUAAGAGUGCUCCCAAGAUGGAAUUAAAUGGUAAGUUUAUUUUGGUGUGAGAAACUUGGGAAUCCAAGCACCCCUGAGGAUGGCCUGGGGGAAUAAUGCAGGGGAGGGUAUGGUGCCCAGUAACCACUACAGCUGCUCUUCCUAGGGUGGAGGAGGGAGUGGGCUUCUGCAUCUUCUCUUUAUUUAUUUAUUUGAAAGGCAGAGGGACAAUGACAGAGACAGACAGAAAUC